This is a long non-coding RNA of Suricata suricatta (meerkat), 190 nucleotides long. RefSeq lists it as uncharacterized. The record is from RefSeq and is a predicted model, not a curated record. Lineage: Eukaryota; Metazoa; Chordata; Mammalia; Carnivora; Herpestidae. The transcript has 2 exons.
GUCCGCACAGAGCCUGAUGUGGGGCUGGAAUCCACAAACUGAGAAGCAGAUGCCGUCCCAGAGAGCACGCGGCCUGAAUAAACAAAUCACUGCGAUUCGGAGCAGAGCGCGCCUGUCAGCACCGGCCUUCCACGACUUCCAAAGGAGAAGUUUCCAAAACAAAAAUCUUUGCUUAGCUUUGGAAAUGAUA